Molecule: long non-coding RNA, 557 nt
Filed under: Malus domestica (apple)
Lineage: Eukaryota; Viridiplantae; Streptophyta; Magnoliopsida; Rosales; Rosaceae
Description: long non-coding RNA (MDOM_LNC015090)
Source: RNAcentral
GCCACGAAGCACAGAGGUUGACACACAAGGACUUUCCAAUUAUCCAGCAAUGGUACUGUUCCUUUACCCUCUCUUCGAUUUUUAAGAAAGUAGUCAUGUUGGGAGUCUUGUGCACUGGGUACGACCUUUUAGUCAUGUUGGGAGUCUGGCUCUUGGGAGCAGCCUCUCCAUAAAAUGGGGGUAAGGCUAGCCGACAUUCACCUCUCCCAGACCCUGCGUAAAGCGGGAGCCUUGUGCACUGGGUACGACCUUUUAGUCAUGUUGGGAGUCUGGCUCUCGAGAUUCGGAGGACGGUGCCUCUUCGAUUUUGGAGCAAGCAAUCUUAUUGGGAGUGUUUUCUCGAAUGUGAGUAAAGGUUGGGCAUGUUUGCUAGUCUACCUUGCCACGAAGCACAGAGGUUGACACACAGGGACUGUCCAAUUAUCCAGCAGUGGUACUGUUCCUUUACCCUUGUGGGUAAUAAUAUGGUAGCUAGACCUUCAAAAUUUAUGGGUCUAAACUUUGUUAGUGCUGUUUCUUUGCUAUUCUUUUACUCUUCUUGGUCAGAGCGAUGUAGU